This is a long non-coding RNA of Coffea eugenioides, 1953 nucleotides long. RefSeq lists it as uncharacterized. The transcript is spliced from 3 exons. The record is from RefSeq and is a predicted model, not a curated record. NCBI's taxonomy places the organism in Eukaryota, Viridiplantae, Streptophyta, Magnoliopsida, Gentianales, Rubiaceae.
UGCAUUUCCUGGUCGCAAUAUGGCGACAAUGGUGUUGGGAACUUGGUCUAAUUUACUGGUUUUUAAUAGCUUGCCUGUUGCAUUUGGUGGUUUGGUGUUUUUUUUGUUGGUUUCCUCCUCUUUCUCAUUUUUUGCAUCAAAUGAGAUGCAUAUUUCAAAUUUUGAGAUAUUGGUUUACUCGUUGUGUGAGGAAAUAAUUAGGUUGAAUGAUUAGUUGCAUUAUCAAUGAAAUAAUUUGGAAUUGUAUGUGGAUAAGUAUCAGUUGAGUUGAAGGUUAGUAAUUAUGUGACCAAUAAUAUUUCCAGUUCAAUGUUCCACUAAUCUACCGCUUUCAGCAGUUUUCUUCCUCAAACUUCCUCUAUCUUUUCUCCCAUUCCUACCUCUCUCAUUCUCCUACUUCUGCUUUCUCUCCUCCCUCUCUCGUUGUAUCAAAAGAUUUUGCUAUGUUUCUAUCUGUCUCAUUUUCUUCCCCUCUUAGAUUUGAGUUCUGUUUUGUUAGAUUUGCUUUUGAUGAUUAUAAAGGUUUCCUUCUCUUGUGCCUUUUAGAUGGUUACAUGAAUUUUGAUUAUUGUUUGUAUUUUUGUUAUCACAUCAUUCUGGGAUGCUUAGCUUCCCUUUUUUUCUUUUUAUUUUAUAUUUUUUCUUUGUAGUCCAUGAUUUUUCUUUUUCCUCUCAAAUUUUCAACCAAGCAUAUAUGGCCAAAGAAAGCAACUGGAGAAGUUGUUGCUUUAAAGAAGAUACGCAUGGACAAUGAAAAAGAAGGGUUAUUGUUAUUCUACCCAAUUUCUUAUUUUCUUAGCUUAUGACAUUUUAAUUUCCUUAGUGGAUAAAUGGUUAUGCCUGCUCUUUUUAGAACACUCAUAAUUUUUUCUUGUAGUUUCCUGUAACUGCCAUGCAUGAAAUAAAAAUUCUAAGGAAGUUGUAGCAUGAAAAUGUCAUUAAACUGAAAGAGAUUGUGGCCUCUCCUGGUACUCAUCCUUCUCCAUAUGUUCAGAGUGGUUAUUUAAUUCAUAAACAUCAAACAUAUACUAUAUGUUUUGUUGUCUUACAUAUAAUAAACUCUUUUUCAGAUCAUGAGGUUGAUAAGCAAGUGAAUCAAGAAGGUAAUAGAUACAAAGGCAGUAUUUACAUGAUUUUUGGGUAUAUGGACCACAGCUUGACGGGACUUGCUGAUUGUCCUGGAUUGAGAUUUACAAUUCAACAUAUCAAUGUAUGUGACCUUGGACAAGGAGGAUUUACUCAUUAUAAUGAGCAUCCAUCACUUUUUUUUUUUGUCAACAAAGCAUCCAUCACUCAACUUGUUCUAAUAAUAUGUAUUUGUAGUGUUAUAUGAAGUAGCUGCUUACUGGUCUUCACUACUGUCAUCUCAAUAACGUGCAGAUAUCAAAGGUUAACUUUUUUAUUCUUUUCUAAACAUAUUAUCUAGGAUUUUAGGUGUGCAUAUGAUACUAUGUUCUGGUUUUUGGUUUGGCAGGCUCCAGUAUGCUCAUAGAUAUAAGGGAAACCUGAAGCUAGCAGAUUUUGGACUACCAUAAUCAUUCUCCAAUAACCACAGUCCAUGGAUGAUGAUUUUCCCUUAUAGCUGACCCAUGUCUUUGAUAUUAUAACUUAAUUUUCAAUCAAGAAAAUUUACUCUUCUAUGUAUUGAGCAGACCUUCAGAGUUGCUUCUUGGAGCUACGAAAUAUGAUUCGGCAGUAGACAUGUGAAUGCUGAACUGAGUACUCAUGUGGCUAAGCAGUAAAGAGGAAGGAAUCUGCUGUCCUGUGUUAGGCAUUCAUGUCGUUUGAUUAUGAGUGCAGUUUCAUUGGAUGUUUUUUAGUUAAUGUGUAUUAUGUAGUUAUAGUUGUUAGAGCACUCAAGCACAGAAAUUCUGUAAUAGCUAGGUUGUUGCCAUUUCAGUUUGUAUAUACCUUACUCUUUUUAUAUGUAUUUAUGGAUCAUGAUGUUAUGUA